AACGAACGCUGGCGGCAGGCCUAACACAUGCAAGUCGAGCGAGGACUCCGGUUCUAGCGGCGGACGGGUGAGUAACGCGUGGGAAUGUGCCCUUCUCUACGGAAUAGCCCUGGGAAACUGGGAGUAAUACCGUAUACGCCCUAUUGGGGAAAGAUUUAUCGGAGAAGGCUCAGCCCGCGUUGGAUUAGGUAGUUGGUGGGGUAAUGGCCUACCAAGCCGACGAUCCAUAGCUGGUUUGAGAGGAUGAUCAGCCACACUGGGACUGAGACACGGCCCAGACUCCUACGGGAGGCAGCAGUGGGGAAUCUUGGACAAUGGGGGCAACCCUGAUCUAGCCAUGCCGCGUGAGUGAUGAAGGCCUUAGGGUUGUAAAGCUCUUUCAGCUGGGAAGAUAAUGACGGUACCAGCAGAAGAAGCCCCGGCUAACUCCGUG
This 433-nucleotide ribosomal RNA is filed under the name uncultured bacterium. RNAcentral describes it as "partial 16S ribosomal RNA". It matches the Rfam family "Bacterial small subunit ribosomal RNA", at positions 29 to 507 of the family's 1533-position model. The record is from RNAcentral.